Molecule: non-coding RNA, 438 nt
Organism: Poecilia reticulata (guppy)
Lineage: Eukaryota; Metazoa; Chordata; Actinopteri; Cyprinodontiformes; Poeciliidae
Source: RefSeq, a predicted model, not a curated record
GCCGGUGAUGCAGCAGCGAGCUGUAGCGAGCAGAACAGAUUCGAGAUAAACCAUAAAUCGUCCCUGGCUUCUCAGCUGGCAGUCGUUCCUCGUUCCUCCUCACCUGAAGUUACCUGUCCACCCUCCACUGCAGUCUCCACCAUCUUCCAAAGAACUCACCCCGUCAACACUCCACUCUGGAACCCGGACCACUUCAAGGACCUCCACAAGGAGACCAAACUCCAGAAACUACUGUAUUACAUCACUGGUGGAAGAUAAUCUUAAUUUCACGUAAGAUCAAUCUAAUUCUUCCUGAAGCUCCACUUUCCGACUACCUCAAGCUCACCAUCUCUAUCUCAUUGCUCUUCAGAGUACAGACGACCCUGGUUGCUGUCCUCAAGAACAAGAACCAUGCAUUCUCAUUUUUCAUCAUUGUUCAAGUAAACUUUAUUUACCUGA